ACCAGACUCCUACGGGAGGCAGCAGUGGGGCCUCUUGCACAAUGGGCGCCCGCCUGAUGCAGCCCUGCCGCGUGUCUGCAGAAGGCCUUCGGGUUGUAAAGUCCUUUCAGCGGGGAGGCAGGCGAUAAGGUUCCUAACCUUGUCGAUUGACGUUACCCGCAGAAGAAGCACCGGCUAACUCCGUGCCAGCAGCCGCGGUACUACGGAGGGUGCAAGCGUUAAUCGGAAUUACUGGGCGUAAAGCGCACGCAGGCGGUCUGUCAAGUCGGAUGUGAAAUCCCCGGGCUCAACCUGGGAACUGCAUUCGAAACUGGCAGGCUGGAGUCUUGUAGAGGGGGGUAGAAUUCCAGGUGUAGCGGUGAAAUGCGUAGAGAUCUGGAGGAAUACCGGUGGCGAAGGCGGCCCCCUGGACAAAGACUGACGCUCAGGUGCGAAAGCGUGGGGAGCAAACAGGAUUAGAUACCCCGGUA
RNAcentral lists this ribosomal RNA (470 nucleotides) under uncultured bacterium. RNAcentral describes it as "bacterial SSU rRNA". It matches the Rfam family "Bacterial small subunit ribosomal RNA", at positions 330 to 792 of the family's 1533-position model. The record is from RNAcentral.